AACGAACGCUGGCGGCAUGCCUAACACAUGCAAGUCGAACGAGACCUUCGGGUCUAGUGGCGCACGGGUGCGUAACGCGUGGGAAUCUGCCCUUGGGUUCGGAAUAACUCGCCGAAAGGCGUGCUAAUACCGGAUGAUGUCGUAAGACCAAAGAUUUAUCGCCCAGGGAUGAGCCCGCGUAAGAUUAGGUAGUUGGUGAGGUAAAGGCUCACCAAGCCGACGAUCUUUAGCUGGUCUGAGAGGAUGAUCAGCCACACUGGGACUGAGACACGGCCCAGACUCCUACGGGAGGCAGCAGUGGGGAAUAUUGGACAAUGGGCGAAAGCCUGAUCCAGCAAUGCCGCGUGAGUGAUGAAGGCCUUAGGGUUGUAAAGCUCUUUUACCCGGGAUGAUAAUGACAGUACCGGGAGAAUAAGCUCCGGCUAACUCCGUGCCAGCAGCCGCGGUAAUACGGAGGGAGCUAGCGUUGUUCGGAAUUACUGGGCGUAAAGCGCACGUAGGCGGCUUUGUAAGUCAGAGGUGAAAGCCUGGAGCUCAACUCCAGAACUGCCUUUGAGACUGCAUCGCUUGAAUCCAGGAGAGGUGAGUGGAAUUCCGAGUGUAGAGGUGAAAUUCGUAGAUAUUCGGAAGAACACCAGUGGCGAAGGCGGCUCACUGGACUGGUAUUGACGCUGAGGUGCGAAAGCGUGGGGAGCAAACAGG
Molecule: ribosomal RNA, 702 nt
Filed under: uncultured Sphingomonas sp.
Lineage: Bacteria; Pseudomonadati; Pseudomonadota; Alphaproteobacteria; Sphingomonadales; Sphingomonadaceae
Description: bacterial SSU rRNA
Rfam family: Bacterial small subunit ribosomal RNA
Source: RNAcentral